AGAGUUUGAUCCUGGCUCAGGAUGAACGCUGGCGGCGUGCCUAAUACAUGCAAGUCGAACGAGGUGCUUUUUGUAGCAAUACGAGAGGUAUCCUAGUGGCGAACGGGUGAGUAACGCGUUGGUGACCUGCCCCAAAGUGUGGGAUAACAGUCCGAAAGGAUUGCUAAUACCGCAUGUGGUCCCCGGAUUUAGAAACCGGUGACUAAAGCAGCAAUGCGCUUUGGGAGGGACCUGCGUCCCAUCAGCUAGUUGGUGAGGUAACGGCCCACCAAGGCUACGACGGGUAGGGGACCUGAGAGGGUGGCCCCCCACAAUGGAACUGAAACACGGUCCAUACACCUACGGGUGGCAGCAGUAGGGAAUAUUGCACAAUGGGCGAAAGCCUGAUGCAGCAACGCCGCGUGCGCGAUGAAGGUCUUCGGAUCGUAAAGCGCUUUUCUGGGAGAUGAGAAAGGACAGU
This 460-nucleotide ribosomal RNA is filed under the name uncultured bacterium. RNAcentral describes it as "bacterial SSU rRNA". It matches the Rfam family "Bacterial small subunit ribosomal RNA", at positions 8 to 459 of the family's 1533-position model. The record is from RNAcentral.